Molecule: long non-coding RNA, 1181 nt
Filed under: Canis lupus dingo (dingo)
Lineage: Eukaryota; Metazoa; Chordata; Mammalia; Carnivora; Canidae
Description: lncRNA (ENSCAFG00020001622.1)
Source: RNAcentral
GGGGCGGGUGCAGGUGCGGCAGGGCGCGGCGGGGGCCCAGCGAGGCUGGCUUGACGCUGAUCCGGGCUGCUCCCGGGCCUCCCUGAGAAACUGAGGCUACGGGGUAGGGCCCUGGAAAGGUAAAAAGUUAUGGCCUCCCUCCCCGACACAGGUGCCUGGAGCUCUUCCUUUCGGAGGAAGGGGCUGUGGGUUCCGGGGGGCCUGUUGCCCCCAAUCCCUGUUUGAGAAACACUGCCCCAUCCAUGCCUUGAACCCUGGACAGACCGCCUCAAGAGGAGGGGCAGGCCUGCCUGGCUGUCCCCAAUGCCUCCCCUAGGGAAAAAGCCAGUGGGACCAGGGGGACUUCUCAAUGGACACAACUUCUCCUUACUGCCGACUGGAGGAACCCAGUGGACCAGCCCAGCCACCAACAAGCUUUGGUGGCAGAUUGGAUGACCAUCCCACAAGCCUGUUGUAUUUACCCAUGGACCCACUCCCCACUACAGAGGCUCCUCCAUGCAUACCCCACCACCUGGCCCUGCCCCUCAUUAUGUCCCAAGGGCCUUACUGUUUACACUCUGUACAUAGUGCCUGUGCCCAUCACUUCUUGCGAGGAUCUGGAGCCAUCAAAUGGGGAGAGCUUUGUCAUUUUGAGACAUAUUUAUUGGAAAAAUUUGCCAACCACUGCUUUAGGGCAAUGAGGAUCACUGCCUGUCACUGGGCACACAGCAAUCCUGAACAAAAGCAGGAUUCUGGCAACAGGAAGAAGCAAAAAGGAUGGACAUGGAAGGGACAGCUCGCGGUGCCUACUACCUAUGCCAGUCAACACAUUUCAAGCCUGCAUCCAGUUAUCUAAUCUGCAACAGCAGAACGAAGAGUCCCCAUUCUAGCUAGGAACCUGACACAAAGGGGUUUUUCUGGAAGCCCUCAGCCCUGAGGACAUCUUCCCAGACUGACCAAAUGUAUAAGAUUUUGAAAGAGACCUGUGAAAAGGAAAGGGGGAUACCAGGAAAUAUCAGCACUGGCUGUGUCUCGAGAGGCUCAAGGGGCUAUUAUUUGCUCAGUGAACUCACCCCCAGCCAAGGUGUUGGUCCUUGAUAUUAUAGGUCUAGAAAAUGGAUCUGAUCAGGAUUCCAGAGUUACCAGUCACAUAAAAACUGACAGUCUAAGUCACUAGGAUGUGAAGUUCAUAAGCCCAACAC